UGCCAGCCGCCGCGGUAAUACGGAGGGAGCUAGCGUUGUUCGGAAUUACUGGGCGUAAAGCGUGCGUAGGCGGAUCGACAAGUUGGGGGUGAAAUCCCGGGGCUUAACCCCGGAACUGCCCUCAAAACUGUCGAUCUAGAGACCGGGAGAGGUAAGCGGAAUUCCUAGUGUAGAGGUGAAAUUCGUAGAUAUUAGGAAGAACACCAGUGGCGAAGGCGGCUUACUGGACCGGUACUGACGCUGAGGUACGAAAGCGUGGGGAGCGAACAGGAUUAGAUA
Molecule: ribosomal RNA, 279 nt
Filed under: uncultured bacterium
Lineage: Bacteria
Description: partial 16S ribosomal RNA
Rfam family: Bacterial small subunit ribosomal RNA
Source: RNAcentral